RNAcentral lists this ribosomal RNA (465 nucleotides) under Vreelandella stevensii. Its description in RNAcentral is "partial 16S ribosomal RNA". It matches the Rfam family "Bacterial small subunit ribosomal RNA", at positions 338 to 795 of the family's 1533-position model. Lineage: Bacteria; Pseudomonadati; Pseudomonadota; Gammaproteobacteria; Oceanospirillales; Halomonadaceae. The record is from RNAcentral.
CCUACGGGCGGCAGCAGUGGGGAAUAUUGGACAAUGGGGGCAACCCUGAUCCAGCCAUGCCGCGUGUGUGAAGAAGGCCCUCGGGUUGUAAAGCACUUUCAGUGAGGAAGAACGCCUGGUGGUUAAUACCCAUCAGGAAAGACGUCACUCACAGAAGAAGCACCGGCUAACUCCGUGCCAGCAGCCGCGGUAAUACGGAGGGUGCGAGCGUUAAUCGGAAUUACUGGGCGUAAAGCGCGCGUAGGUGGCUUGAUAAGCCGGUUGUGAAAGCCCCGGGCUCAACCUGGGAACGGCAUCCGGAACUGUCAAGCUAGAGUGCAGGAGAGGAAGGUAGAAUUCCCGGUGUAGCGGUGAAAUGCGUAGAGAUCGGGAGGAAUACCAGUGGCGAAGGCGGCCUUCUGGACUGACACUGACACUGAGGUGCGAAAGCGUGGGUAGCAAACAGGAUUAGAUACCCCUGUAGUC